CCGCCUGGGGAGUACGGCCGCAAGGCUAAAAACUCAAAGGAAUUGACGGGGACCCGCACAAGCGGUGGAUGAUGUGGAUUAAUUCGAUGCAACGCGAAAAACCUUACCUACCCUUGACAUGUCAGGAAUCCCGAAGAGAUUUGGGAGUGCUCGCAAGAGAGCCUGAACACAGGUGCUGCAUGGCUGUCGUCAGCUCGUGUCGUGAGAUGUUGGGUUAAGUCCCGCAACGAGCGCAACCCUUGUCAUUAAUUGCCAUCAUUCAGUUGGGCACUUUAAUGAGACUGCCGGUGACAAACCGGAGGAAGGUGGGGAUGACGUCAAGUCCUCAUGGCCCUUAUGGGUAGGGCUUCACACGUCAUACAAUGGUCGGUCCAGAGGGUUGCCAACCCGCGAGGGGGGAGCCGAAUCUCAGAAAGCCGAUCGUAGUCCGGAUCGCAGUCUGCAACUCGACUGCGUGAAGUCGGAAUCGCUAGUAAUCGCGGAUCAGCAUGUCGCGGUG
RNAcentral lists this ribosomal RNA (499 nucleotides) under uncultured bacterium. RNAcentral's name for it is "bacterial SSU rRNA". It matches the Rfam family "Bacterial small subunit ribosomal RNA", at positions 869 to 1364 of the family's 1533-position model. The record is from RNAcentral.